UCAGCGGGCCGUGACUGGCGCGCUGGGAUGGGACCGACCAUCGGGGAGCGGCCCGAGCGGUGCGACGUGCCGCGAAGAGUGCCGUGCGCCUGGGCCGAACGU
RNAcentral lists this non-coding RNA (102 nucleotides) under Streptomyces sp. Its description in RNAcentral is "ZTP sequence". It matches the Rfam family "ZMP/ZTP riboswitch aptamer (pfl RNA motif)". Rfam says of the family: Previously known as pfl RNA. ZMP is also known as AICAR. RNAcentral also lists the same sequence under 1 other name. The record is from RNAcentral. Lineage: Bacteria; Bacillati; Actinomycetota; Actinomycetes; Kitasatosporales; Streptomycetaceae.